GAUGAACGCUGGCGGCGUGCUUAACACAUGCAAGUCGAACGAUUAACCCAUCUUCGGAUGGUUAUAGAGUGGCGAACGGGUGAGUAACACGUGACCAACCUACCUUUUAUUUUGGGAUAACUCAGAGAAAUCUGUGCUAAUACCGAAUACUCCGAAACCUUCGCAUGUUGGUUUCGGGAAAGUUCCGGCGGUAAAAGAUGGGGUCGCGGCCUAUUAGAUAGUUGGUGGGGUAAUGGCCUACCAAGUCAGCGAUAGGUAGCCGGGUUGAGAGACUGAUCGGCCACAUUGGGACUGAGAUACGGCCCAGACUCCUACGGGAGGCAGCGGUGGGGAAUUUUGCGCAAUGGGCGAAAGCCUGACGCAGCAACGCCGCGUGCGGGAUGACGGCCUUCGGGUUGUAAACCGCUUUCAGCAGGGAAGAAAUUGACGGUACCUGCAGAAGAAGCUCCGGCUAACUACGUGCCAGCCGCCGCCGUAA
Molecule: ribosomal RNA, 478 nt
Filed under: uncultured bacterium
Lineage: Bacteria
Description: partial 16S ribosomal RNA
Rfam family: Bacterial small subunit ribosomal RNA
Source: RNAcentral